GGCGGAAGGGUCGGGGCAGGGCGAGGGCAGGGCGCCACCUCGUGGCUGGGGUGCCUGCGCAAACCAGCUGCCUCACCAGCCCUGGAGCUCGCACCACGUGGCCUCACCUCACGUGUGCUGUCCCCCUGGCCACGUCUGUCUUUGUCUCACCUGACGUGCUGUGCCUCUCCUGCCAGGGCUCUGUCCUGUCUGCCGCCACUACCGCCGCAUGGCCCUGCUCGGCCUGCAGCCCGCUCGCCGCUUCGCUCCCUCAGAGACCCCGCGCCAGCGGUCCGUAUUGGCCACGGCUGGAGCACAAUGGUGCUAUCUCAACUCACUGCAACAUCCGCCUCCCGAGUUCAAGCAAUUCUC
This 351-nucleotide long non-coding RNA is filed under the name Homo sapiens (human). Its description in RNAcentral is "HSALNT0146658". The record is from RNAcentral. Lineage: Eukaryota; Metazoa; Chordata; Mammalia; Primates; Hominidae.